This 300-nucleotide ribosomal RNA is filed under the name Citrobacter sp. KTE151. Its description in RNAcentral is "bacterial LSU rRNA". It matches the Rfam family "Bacterial large subunit ribosomal RNA", at positions 2631 to 2925 of the family's 2925-position model. Lineage: Bacteria; Pseudomonadati; Pseudomonadota; Gammaproteobacteria; Enterobacterales; Enterobacteriaceae. The record is from RNAcentral.
UCGGUCCCUAUCUGCCGUGGGCGCUGGAGAAUUGAGGGGGGCUGCUCCUAGUACGAGAGGACCGGAGUGGACGCAUCACUGGUGUUCGGGUUGUCAUGCCAAUGGCAUUGCCCGGUAGCUAAAUGCGGAAGAGAUAAGUGCUGAAAGCAUCUAAGCACGAAACUUGCCCCGAGAUGAGUUCUCCCUGACCCUUUAAGGGUCCUGAAGGAACGUUGAAGACGACGACGUUGAUAGGUCGGGUGUGUAAGCGUAGCGAUACGUUGAGCUAACCGAUACUAAUGAACCGUGAGGCUUAACCUU